RNAcentral lists this small RNA (116 nucleotides) under Mangrovibacter plantisponsor. RNAcentral describes it as "tp2". It matches the Rfam family "tp2". RNAcentral also lists the same sequence under 1 other name. Lineage: Bacteria; Pseudomonadati; Pseudomonadota; Gammaproteobacteria; Enterobacterales; Enterobacteriaceae. The record is from RNAcentral.
GGUAUUCCUUAUCUUUUAAUCGUUGAUUGUCUGGAACCUGUCCCAUUGCAUUCUCAGCCUGGGGUAAAAACACAAUAAGACAGGUUCUGCGUUUAGUUGCCGCGCUCUAUGAUUGG